This 173-nucleotide ribosomal RNA is filed under the name Ramularia coleosporii. Its description in RNAcentral is "partial 18S ribosomal RNA". It matches the Rfam family "Eukaryotic small subunit ribosomal RNA", at positions 1661 to 1831 of the family's 1831-position model. Lineage: Eukaryota; Fungi; Ascomycota; Dothideomycetes; Mycosphaerellales; Mycosphaerellaceae. The record is from RNAcentral. RNAcentral also lists the same sequence under 3 other names.
UGUACACACCGCCCGUCGCUACUACCGAUUGAAUGGCUCAGUGAGGCCUUCGGACUGGCUCAGGGAGGUCGGCAACGACCACCCAGAGCCGGAAAGUUGGUCAAACUCGGUCAUUUAGAGGAAGUAAAAGUCGUAACAAGGUCUCCGUAGGUGAACCUGCGGAGGGAUCAUUA